This 583-nucleotide ribosomal RNA is filed under the name SAR202 cluster bacterium. Its description in RNAcentral is "partial 23S ribosomal RNA". It matches the Rfam family "Bacterial large subunit ribosomal RNA", at positions 1 to 553 of the family's 2925-position model. Lineage: Bacteria; Bacillati; Chloroflexota; Dehalococcoidia. The record is from RNAcentral.
AGUCAAGUUAUUAAGGGCUCACGGUGAAUGCCUUGGGAUCAAGGACCGAUGAAGGGCGCGGUAAGGCUGCGAUAAGCCUCGAUUAGCCGUCUAACGGGCUUAGUCGAGGAUUCCCGAAUGGGGAAACCUGUUCCGGUGUUGAGCCGGUUCAUCUGCAUAGCAGAGGGUAAGUGGGGGAACUGAAACAUCUAAGUACCCCGAGGAAAAUAAAUCAACCGAGAUUCUCUUAGUAGUGGCGAACGAACGGGGAAUAGGCCAAACCCCUAUGACUUAGUGGUGUAAGGACCUAUGUCAUAGUGGUGUCGUAGGAGGCAUCUGAAAUCGCCUUGCCAGAUUUCAAGAAGUUACAAAACAUGAGUUUAGUCGAAGGACCCUGGGAAGGGCCGUCGUAGAGGGUGAUAGCCCCGUAGACGAAAAGUUCAUGUCUUCUGAUGCAUUUCCUAAGUACCACGGGACACGAGAAAUCUUGUGGGAAGUCGGGGGGACCACCCUCCAAGCCUAAAUAUCCUUGAUCACCGAUAGCGAACAAGUACCGUGAGGGAAAGGUGAAAAGAACCCCUAGCGGGGAGUGAAAUAGACCUGA